GACGAACGCUGGCGGCGUGCUUAACACAUGCAAGUCGAACGGAAAGGCCCUGCUUUUGUGGUGUGCUCGAGUGGCGAACGGGUGAGUAACACGUGAGUAACCUGCCCUUGACUUUGGGAUAACUUCAGGAAACUGGGGCUAAUACCGGAUAGGAGCUCCUGCUGCAUGGUGGGGGUUGGAAAGUUUCGGCGGUUGGGGAUGGACUCGCGGCUUAUCAGCUUGUUGGUGGGGUAGUGGCUUACCAAGGCUUUGACGGGUAGCCGGCCUGAGAGGGUGACCGGCCACAUUGGGACUGAGAUACGGCCCAGACUCCUACGGGAGGCAGCAGUGGGGAAUAUUGCACAAUGGGCGGAAGCCUGAUGCAGCAACGCCGCGUGCGGGAUGACGGCCUUCGGGUUGUAAACCGCUUUCGCCUGUGACGAGGCGUGAGUGACGGUAAUGGGUAAAGAAGCACCGGCUAACUACGUG
RNAcentral lists this ribosomal RNA (468 nucleotides) under uncultured bacterium. RNAcentral describes it as "partial 16S ribosomal RNA". It matches the Rfam family "Bacterial small subunit ribosomal RNA", at positions 28 to 507 of the family's 1533-position model. The record is from RNAcentral.